UUUACGGGCCAUAGCACCCUCAACGUGCCUGAUCUCGAGUCGGACCUGGGAAGCUAAGCAGGGUCAGGCCUGGUUAGUACGGGAGGGAUGAAUGGUUAGACGCCAGGCAGA
This 111-nucleotide ribosomal RNA is filed under the name Mustela putorius furo (domestic ferret). Lineage: Eukaryota; Metazoa; Chordata; Mammalia; Carnivora; Mustelidae. The record is from RNAcentral.